GCCGAGGUAGCUCAGCUGGUUAGAGCGCAGGAUUCAUAAUCCUGAGGUCGGCAGUUCAAUCCUGCCUCUCGGUA
This 74-nucleotide transfer RNA is filed under the name Bacteroidales bacterium. Its description in RNAcentral is "tRNA-Met". It matches the Rfam family "tRNA". Rfam says of the family: Transfer RNA (tRNA) molecules are approximately 80 nucleotides in length. Their secondary structure includes four short double-helical elements and three loops (D, anti-codon, and T loops). Lineage: Bacteria; Pseudomonadati; Bacteroidota; Bacteroidia; Bacteroidales. The record is from RNAcentral.